UAAAACCACACCCACUCUGUGCCU
This 24-nucleotide non-coding RNA is filed under the name Mus musculus (house mouse). The record is from RNAcentral. Lineage: Eukaryota; Metazoa; Chordata; Mammalia; Rodentia; Muridae.